GAUGAACGCUGGCGGCGUGCCUAACACAUGCAAGUCGAACGGAAAGACAGUAAGAUUGUGCCUUUACCGUUAGCGGCUGGCGGGCGAGUAACGAGUGCAUCGCCAACUUAUUUUUCGGGGAUGAUUACGUAAGACAGGAUACAAUACUACAGCAUAUGUUGUACCGCUGAGUGCAGUGGAUAAUCGCGGCUUUCGUGUCUGUUAUAGCUGAUUCCGCGCCGCAUUGGCUAGUUGGUAAGGUAACGGCAUACCAAGGCUACGAUGCGUAGCCGAUCUGAGAGGGUGAUCGGCCACACUGGAACUGAGACACGGUCCAGACUCCUACGGGAGGCAGCAGUAGGGAAUAUUGGGCAAUGGGCGCAAGCCUGACCCAGCCAUGCCGCGUGGGUGAUGAAGGCCUUCGGGUUGUAAAGCCCUUUUGUUGGGAAAGAAAAGCUGUAGAUUAAAACACGGCUGUUCUGACGGUACCCAAAGAAUAAGCACCGGCUAACUACGUG
This 497-nucleotide ribosomal RNA is filed under the name uncultured bacterium. RNAcentral describes it as "partial 16S ribosomal RNA". It matches the Rfam family "Bacterial small subunit ribosomal RNA", at positions 28 to 507 of the family's 1533-position model. The record is from RNAcentral.